UAGAGUUGACCGUACCGCAAACCGACACAGGUGGGCAGGAUGAAAAUUCUAAGGCGCUUGAGAGAACUCAGGAGAAGGAACUCGGCAAAUUAACACCGUAACUUCGGGAGAAGGUGUGCCCCGGUAGCGUGUAGAGACUUGCUCUCGAAGCGCGAUGGGGUUGCAGUGAAAUGGUGGCUGCGACUGUUUAAUAAAAACACAGCACUCUGCAAACACGAAAGUGGACGUAUAGGGUGUGACGCCUGCCCGGUGCCGGAAGGUUAAGUGAUGGGGUGCAAGCUCUUGAUCGAAGCCCCGGUAAACGGCGGCCGUAACUAUAACGGUCCUAAGGUAGCGAAAUUCCUUGUCGGGUAAGUUCCGACCUGCACGAAUGGCGUAACGAUGGCCACACUGUCUCCUCCUGGGACUCAGCGAAGUUGAAAUGUUUGUGAAGAUGCAAUCUACCCGCGGCUAGACGGAAAGACCCCAUGAACCUUUACUGUAGCUUUGCAUUGGACUUUGAACCGGUUUGUGUAGGAUAGGUGGGAGACUGUGAAGCCGGGACGCUAGUUUCGGUGGAGUCAACCUUGAAAUACCACCCUGAUUUGUUUGAGGUUCUAACCUUGGUCCGUGAAUCCGGAUCGGGGACCGUGCAUGGUAGGCAGUUUGACUGGGGCGGUCUCCUCCCAAAAGGUAACGGAGGAGUACGAAGGUACGCUUAGGGCGGUCGGACAUCGCCCACAAAGUGCAAUGGCAAAAGCGUGCUUGACUGCGAGACCCACAAGUCGAGCAGGUACGAAAGUAGGUCAUAGUGAUCCGGUGGUUCUGUAUGGAAGGGCCAUCGCUCAACGGAUAAAAGGUACUCUGGGGAUAACAGGCUAAUUCCUCCCAAGAGUUCAUAUCGACGGGGGAGUUUGGCACCUCGAUGUCGGCUCAUCACAUCCUGGGGCUGUAGUCGGUCCCAAGGGUAUGGCUGUUCGCCAUUUAAAGUGGUACGCGAGCUGGGUUUAAAACGUCGUGAGACAGUUUGGUCCCUAUCUGCCGUGGGCGCUGGAAAUUUGAAGGGGGCUGCUCCUAGUACGAGAGGACCGGAGUGGACGAACCUCUGGUGUACCGGUUAUGACGCCAGUCGUAUCGCCGGGUAGCUAAGUUCGGAAGAGAUAAACGCUGAAAGCAUCUAAGCGUGAAACUCGCCUUAAGAUAAGAUUUCCCGGAGUCUUGAACUCCCUGAAGGGUCGUCGAAGACCACGACGUUGAUAGGUCAGGUGUGGAAGCGCAGCAAUGCGUUAAGCUAACUGAUACUAAUUGCCCGUGCGGCUUGAUCCU
RNAcentral lists this ribosomal RNA (1305 nucleotides) under metagenome. RNAcentral's name for it is "bacterial LSU rRNA". It matches the Rfam family "Bacterial large subunit ribosomal RNA", at positions 1633 to 2925 of the family's 2925-position model. The record is from RNAcentral.